Molecule: unclassified non-coding RNA, 246 nt
Filed under: uncultured Gammaproteobacteria bacterium
Lineage: Bacteria; Pseudomonadati; Pseudomonadota; Gammaproteobacteria
Description: contains 16S-23S intergenic spacer region
Source: RNAcentral
UCCGGUUUGUCACCGGCAGUCUCGCAUGAGUCCCCAACUAAAUGCUGGCAUGUCAAGGGUAGGUAAGGUUUUUCGCGUUGCAUCGAAUUAAUCCACAUAAUCCACCGCUUGUGCGGGUCCCCGUCAAUUCCUUUGAGUUUUAACCUUGCGGCCGUACUCCCCAGGCGGUCAACUUCACGCGUUAGCUUCGUUACCAAGGAAUUGCUUCCCCGACAACCAGUUGACAUAGUUUAGGGCGUGGACUAC